GCGAGCGUAGCCCAAUCGGCAGAGGCGCCCGGCUUAAACCCGGGAUUGUGCCGGUGAACUAGGGUCCUGCGGACCCGUUACGAACCCUGCAAAGCUCCAGCACGCUGGACCUUUGCACGAACCGUCGAUCCCGGCCGCUCGCACCA
RNAcentral lists this transfer RNA (146 nucleotides) under Myxococcales bacterium. RNAcentral describes it as "tRNA-Leu". Lineage: Bacteria; Pseudomonadati; Myxococcota; Myxococcia; Myxococcales. The record is from RNAcentral.